This 1500-nucleotide ribosomal RNA is filed under the name uncultured bacterium. Its description in RNAcentral is "bacterial SSU rRNA". It matches the Rfam family "Bacterial small subunit ribosomal RNA". The record is from RNAcentral.
GACGAACGCUGGCGGCGUGCCUAAUACAUGCAAGUAGAACGCUGAAGAGAGGAGCUUGCUCUUCUUGGAUGAGUUGCGAACGGGUGAGUAACGCGUAGGUAACCUGCCUUGUAGCGGGGGAUAACUAUUGGAAACGAUAGCUAAUACCGCAUAACAAUGGAUGACACAUGUCAUUUAUUUGAAAGGGGCAAUUGCUCCACUACAAGAUGGACCUGCGUUGUAUUAGCUAGUAGGUGAGGUAACGGCUCACCUAGGCGACGAUACAUAGCCGACCUGAGAGGGUGAUCGGCCACACUGGGACUGAGACACGGCCCAGACUCCUACGGGAGGCAGCAGUAGGGAAUCUUCGGCAAUGGGGGCAACCCUGACCGAGCAACGCCGCGUGAGUGAAGAAGGUUUUCGGAUCGUAAAGCUCUGUUGUAAGUCAAGAACGAGUGUGAGAGUGGAAAGUUCACACUGUGACGGUAGCUUACCAGAAAGGGACGGCUAACUACGUGCCAGCAGCCGCGGUAAUACGUAGGUCCCGAGCGUUGUCCGGAUUUAUUGGGCGUAAAGCGAGCGCAGGCGGUUUGAUAAGUCUGAAGUUAAAGGCUGUGGCUCAACCAUAGUUCGCUUUGGAAACUGUCAAACUUGAGUGCAGAAGGGGAGAGUGGAAUUCCAUGUGUAGCGGUGAAAUGCGUAGAUAUAUGGAGGAACACCGGUGGCGAAAGCGGCUCUCUGGUCUGUAACUGACGCUGAGGCUCGAAAGCGUGGGGAGCGAACAGGAUUAGAUACCCUGGUAGUCCACGCCGUAAACGAUGAGUGCUAGGUGUUGGAUCCUUUCCGGGAUUCAGUGCCGCAGCUAACGCAUUAAGCACUCCGCCUGGGGAGUACGACCGCAAGGUUGAAACUCAAAGGAAUUGACGGGGGCCCGCACAAGCGGUGGAGCAUGUGGUUUAAUUCGAAGCAACGCGAAGAACCUUACCAGGUCUUGACAUCCCGAUGCUAUUUCUAGAGAUAGAAAGUUACUUCGGUACAUCGGUGACAGGUGGUGCAUGGUUGUCGUCAGCUCGUGUCGUGAGAUGUUGGGUUAAGUCCCGCAACGAGCGCAACCCCUAUUGUUAGUUGCCAUCAUUCAGUUGGGCACUCUAGCGAGACUGCCGGUAAUAAACCGGAGGAAGGUGGGGAUGACGUCAAAUCAUCAUGCCCCUUAUGACCUGGGCUACACACGUGCUACAAUGGUUGGUACAACGAGUUGCGAGUCGGUGACGGCAAGCUAAUCUCUUAAAGCCAAUCUCAGUUCGGAUUGUAGGCUGCAACUCGCCUACAUGAAGUCGGAAUCGCUAGUAAUCGCGGAUCAGCACGCCGCGGUGAAUACGUUCCCGGGCCUUGUACACACCGCCCGUCACACCACGAGAGUUUGUAACACCCGAAGUCGGUGAGGUAACCUUUUGGAGCCAGCCGCCUAAGGUGGGAUAGAUGAUUGGGGUGAAGUCGUAACAAGGUAGCCGUAUCGGAAGG